GGAGCAGCGAAGUGGUAAAGGA
RNAcentral lists this unclassified non-coding RNA (22 nucleotides) under Mus musculus (house mouse). RNAcentral describes it as "oocyte_clustered_small_RNA1599". Lineage: Eukaryota; Metazoa; Chordata; Mammalia; Rodentia; Muridae. The record is from RNAcentral.